GGAAGUAAAAGUCAUAACAAGGUUUCCGUAGGUGAACCUGCGGAAGGAUCAUUACAGUAGUCACCCAGGUUGCCGCAAGGCCUCCUGGGUAACCUACCACCCUUUGUAUAUUACACUUUGUUGCUUUGGCAAGCCUGCCCUCGGGCUGCUGGCUCCGGCCGGCGAGCGCUUGCCAGAGGACCUAAACUCUGUUUGUCUAUACUGUCUGAGUACUAUAUAAUAGUUAAAACUUUCAACAACGGAUCUCUUGGUUCUG
Molecule: unclassified non-coding RNA, 256 nt
Filed under: plant metagenome
Description: partial contains small subunit ribosomal RNA, internal transcribed spacer 1, and 5.8S ribosomal RNA
Rfam family: Eukaryotic small subunit ribosomal RNA (bases 1-54)
Source: RNAcentral